GUUAACCGACGUUGAAGAUAAGUCUGAUUCCAUUAUGGUUUUUCUUCUAAUAUAGAAGACAACAAUGUGGAAGGUCUGGCGCACCUGAUGAUGGGCGACCAAGGUAAAAGUAAAGAGGACUGGCUGAAGUUAAGAGUCUUAAAGAGCAGUUGGAUUUGCACUGACCAAUGAGGUGGAAGAAGAGAGAAGCUGAUUGAUCCCAAAGAAAGCCAACACCUAGACUGAUGAAUGUAAUGUAGCUCAUUCAUAAUGUCAUUUUCCUGGAUGUGCUGAAGUGGCUAAAUGAGCAUAGAAGUUAUUUAUACAUUAACAUGGAAAAGAAGAAUAUAUUGCCACGUUCAAAGGAUCUGAAUACUUCUGCUACGACUUGUCUCAAAACCCCAUUCAAAGCAGCAGUGAUGAAAUAACUCUGUCAUUUAAAACCCUUCAGAGGAAUGGACUGAUGCUUCACACUGGGAAAUCGGCUGAUUAUGUCAAUCUUGCCCUGAAAAAUGGAGCUGUCUCUCUGGUCAUUAAUUUGGGAUCAGGGGCCUUUGAAGCACUAGUGGAGCCUGUGAAUGGAAAGUUUAAUGAU
RNAcentral lists this small RNA (574 nucleotides) under Pan troglodytes (chimpanzee). RNAcentral's name for it is "processed transcript". Lineage: Eukaryota; Metazoa; Chordata; Mammalia; Primates; Hominidae. The record is from RNAcentral.